Non-coding RNA from Mycena metata, 96 nucleotides. The record is from the annotation of a GenBank genome assembly. NCBI's taxonomy places the organism in Eukaryota, Fungi, Basidiomycota, Agaricomycetes, Agaricales, Mycenaceae.
GCCUUUGUGGAUCAGUGUUAAAUCACCUCUCCUAAGUAUUUGAGUGCGCAGUUUCCACUGCAAGACGAGACGUGGGUUCAAAUCCCACCUGAGGCA